ACAUACCCCUUGGAUAUGUCUAACAAAAAUUUUGGACCAAAUUGCCCCCGUCUUCUUCCUUUGCCUCCCCCAUCUCUCCUGUUCUGUUGUUCAUCUUCUUCCUCCCGUUUCUUGCUGCUGUGAGAUUAGGAGUACACAGUAAUAGUCACUUUGUCAGGAUCAUGCACAAGCAGGGCCGGCCCUAGGGGGGGUCAGCCCGUGCGCACGCCCGAGUCCCCCAAAAUUUAGGGGGCCCCAUGGCGGAUGGGCCAUGGCCCACGACGCCCCCAGGGUCAGCAUCGCUCUCAGUCCUGAAUCAUGUAUGGUAUCGAAGACAGAAGACGAAGAGGAGCGAAGGAAAAGUGAAGCGAUCUGACUCCGUUCCCGUCGCCUCGAUCACGCCUCGCGUCGCGUUGCAAACGGUAAACGGCGGCAAACCGCAACGCAAACACGGCAAUCGGCAGCAAAUCGCAGCGGCUCUGCAUGACUGGCUGACUACGUCGAUUGGAGGCCAACCGCCCGGCGGCGCGCCCUCAUCGGCCGAUCGGCUGCUCGCGCCUCGCAGUCGUCGUCUAAGUUUAUGUAUAUAUAUAGGGGCCUCCACGUAAGUUUUUGUCCUAGAGCUUGAAAACUCAGGACCGGCCCUGUGCACAAGGCGCGCUCGUCGACGAGCACGUAAUCGGUGGACGUGGACCACGCCAUGGUGAAGCCGCUGUAGGCGAAUGACUCCAGCUGCACCGACAGGGGCACGUCCUUGGGCGUCCGGGUGCUGGACAUUCAAGAACGACAUGCUCCGCGUCUUGGUUGUUGCAGUAGACCUCGGGGAGGCUGGAAACUGAGAAGGUGGUGAUGCGGCCAGCGAAGGGAAGAAGGGAAACUAGAUGGUGCAGCACAACACCGCCGUUGCUGGCCGAGAAAGGAGAUGUGGAGGAAGAAUACUAAGAUACCAGAUCCAAAAGGGAAAGAAAUGGAAGAAAGAAGAUGAACAGGAGAGGGUGGAGACAAAGGAGAAGACGAGAGCGAUUUGGUCUAAAAUUUUUGUUAAACACAUCCAAAGGUUGUACAGUGACAUAUUUCCAAUACCUGAAAAAGUUGUAAUGGCAUGUUUCUAAAUAGUUUAAUAGUAACGGUAUAUUUCAAAACUAAAGAUUUUAUAAUGGCAUCUAUCCAAUUAACCCUAAAAAAUUUGUCUCACGAAUUAGCUCUCAUUUAUGUAAUUAGUUUUGUAAGUAGUCAAUAUUUAAUACUCUAAAUUAGUAUCUAAAACAAAGACUAAAGUUUAAUCCCUGGAUCCAAACACCACCUAACAAACAAAAUAAAAAACUAAAAAAAAAACAAUUACCACACGUGUCUGUAGUCUGAACUAACCCGCACUCAUAGUAUAUGAACAUUGCCAUGAGCAGCAAUGCUAAGUUGUGAUUGCUGCCAUCCGGUUUUUUUGGGUGGGUUGGGGGGCAGCUUAUGACAGUUACAAACUUUGGAAUAUACCACGGUUCUCAAACUAAUUUUUUUCUACAUCAGCAUUGCUUAGCUUGUUCGAAGCUAUUUAUUCGGUUCAUAAUAAUAUAUAAUUUUUAAUUCAUUACUACAAACGGGAUUGCGUAGCCUAUCGAAUCAUGCAUUAAGGACAGAGCAAGUACUGCAAUGCUACGAAAAGAAUUCACUAAUAUCACAAGACCUUCCAAGAUACUGAACCACAAGAACAAAUGAAUUAUCUUGCAAUAAAAUUACGUCCCUACAUUCCAUCUCUUUCGAAAGAUACUGACCAAACGCCAGUACAGUUAACAAUACAACAUUCAGUCUGAAAAAGGAAGUUCACUAGACUAAUCUCUCGAGGUCAUAUUCAUGUCACGGGAAGUAAUUAAAGUGGGUCGCUCUAUGUUUGCUAACUACUAAUCAAAAGACAGCAGGUAAGAUAACAAAAAAAGAAAAGGGAUACUGAGGACUAAGGUAAAUAGAACUGUCGUAAGAUAAAAUUGCAGCAAAAUAUAAACACAUGCAUCACAUUGGAUUCAACGAGCAUUAAGCAACAAAACUUGAUUCAGCAGAAAGCCAAUCCUUGCUAGAGUAAAUGUCAGACGAUGAUACUUGAAUACAUUGAUAUGGUCUGCUUAAAUAA
Oryza sativa Japonica Group (Japanese rice) is the source of this 2098-nucleotide non-coding RNA. NCBI's taxonomy places the organism in Eukaryota, Viridiplantae, Streptophyta, Magnoliopsida, Poales, Poaceae. The record is from RefSeq and is a predicted model, not a curated record.